This 254-nucleotide ribosomal RNA is filed under the name uncultured bacterium. Its description in RNAcentral is "partial 16S ribosomal RNA". It matches the Rfam family "Bacterial small subunit ribosomal RNA", at positions 524 to 776 of the family's 1533-position model. The record is from RNAcentral.
UACGUAGGGUGCAAGCGUUGUCCGGAAUUAUUGGGCGUAAAGAGCUCGUAGGCGGUUUGUCGCGUCUGCUGUGAAAACUCAGGGCUUAACCCUGAGCCUGCAGUGGGUACGGGCAGACUAGAGUGUGGUAAGGGGAGAUCGGAAUUCCUGGUGUAGCGGUGGAAUGCGCAGAUAUCAGGAGGAACACCCGUGGCGAAGGCGGUGUGCUGGGUUGCAACUGACGCUGAGGAGCGAAAGCGUGGGGAGCAAACAGG